This 434-nucleotide ribosomal RNA is filed under the name uncultured bacterium. RNAcentral describes it as "partial 16S ribosomal RNA". It matches the Rfam family "Bacterial small subunit ribosomal RNA", at positions 29 to 507 of the family's 1533-position model. The record is from RNAcentral.
AGCGAACGCUGGCGGCAGGCCUAACACAUGCAAGUCGAACGAACCUUUCGGGGUUAGUGGCGGACGGGUGAGUAACACGUGGGAACGUGCCUUUAGGUUCGGAAUAACUCAGGGAAACUUGUGCUAAUACCGAAUGUGCCCUUCGGGGGAAAGAUUUAUCGCCUUUAGAGCGGCCCGCGUCUGAUUAGCUAGUUGGUUGAGGUAAUGGCUCACCAAGGCGACGAUCAGUAGCUGGUCUGAGAGGAUGAUCAGCCACAUUGGGACUGAGACACGGCCCAAACUCCUACGGGAGGCAGCAGUGGGGAAUCUUGCGCAAUGGGCGAAAGCCUGACGCAGCCAUGCCGCGUGAAUGAUGAAGGUCUUAGGAUUGUAAAAUUCUUUCACCGGGGACGAUAAUGACGGUACCCGGAGAAGAAGCCCCGGCUAACAUCGUG